This 348-nucleotide unclassified non-coding RNA is filed under the name soil metagenome. RNAcentral describes it as "partial contains 5.8S ribosomal RNA, internal transcribed spacer 2, and large subunit ribosomal RNA". The stretch from base 1 to 120 matches the Rfam family "5.8S ribosomal RNA", at positions 35 to 154 of the family's 154-position model. The record is from RNAcentral.
GAUGAAGAACGCAGCGAAAUGCGAUAAGUAAUGUGAAUUGCAGAAUUCAGUGAAUCAUCGAAUCUUUGAACGCACAUUGCGCCCGCCAGUAUUCUGGCGGGCAUGCCUGUCUGAGCAUCAUUUCAACCCUCAUGCCCCUAGGGCGUGGUGUUGGGGAUCGGCCAAAGCCCGCGAGGGACGGCCGGCCCCUAAAUCUAGUGGCGGACCCGUCGUGGCCUCCUCUGCGAAGUAGUGAUAUUCCGCAUCGGAGAGCGAUGAGCCCCUGCCGUUAAACCCCCAACUUUCCAAGGUUGACCUCAGAUCAGGUAGGAAUACCCGCUGAACUUAAGCAUAUCAAUAAGCGGAGGA